Gordionus sp. m RMFG-2023 is the source of this 304-nucleotide long non-coding RNA. RefSeq lists it as uncharacterized. The transcript has 3 exons. Lineage: Eukaryota; Metazoa; Nematomorpha; Gordioida; Chordodea; Parachordodidae. The record is from RefSeq and is a predicted model, not a curated record.
CAGAUUUUUAAAAUUUUUACUUUAUUUCAGUGGUAUCGAUUCCACUGGGUCUCGAGGCUCGACCCAUUAAAAUAUUCUAUAAAAUGGAUAAUAUUGACCCAUUAGAACAUCAUGUAGCCUCGUCUAAUGUAUGGCUUUGAAAACGAGGAAAUUCUUUUCGGUGUAUUAUUUAUUUUAAAAAGUAAUAAUUACCUGGAUGCGCUAUUUGGCGAGAAGCAAACAAAAAAUGCUAAAGAUUCAAAUUAAGUGAAUAUGAAAUAAUUACUGGGGUUCGAAAAUAUAUCGAUGAAGAUAUUCCUAAUUA